RNAcentral lists this transfer RNA (70 nucleotides) under Fukomys damarensis (Damara mole-rat). It matches the Rfam family "tRNA". Rfam says of the family: Transfer RNA (tRNA) molecules are approximately 80 nucleotides in length. Their secondary structure includes four short double-helical elements and three loops (D, anti-codon, and T loops). Further hydrogen bonds mediate the characteristic L-shaped molecular structure. tRNAs have two regions of fundamental functional importance: the anti-codon, which is responsible for specific mRNA codon recognition, and the 3' end, to which the tRNAs corresponding amino acid is attached (by aminoacyl-tRNA synthetases). tRNAs cope with the degeneracy of the genetic code in two manners: having more than one tRNA (with a specific anti-codon) for a particular amino acid; and 'wobble' base-pairing, i.e. permitting non-standard base-pairing at the 3rd anti-codon position. The record is from Rfam by way of RNAcentral. Lineage: Eukaryota; Metazoa; Chordata; Mammalia; Rodentia; Bathyergidae.
GGGAAUGUGGCUUAGUGGUAAAGCACUUGCCUGGCAUGCACAAGGCCCUGGGUUCCAUCCCCAGCACUCA